Molecule: long non-coding RNA, 660 nt
Filed under: Elaeis guineensis (African oil palm)
Lineage: Eukaryota; Viridiplantae; Streptophyta; Magnoliopsida; Arecales; Arecaceae
Description: long non-coding RNA (EGUI_LNC051031)
Source: RNAcentral
UUUCUUUCAUAAUUUAGGGUUUUGCUUUUAAUGAGUUGCUUGCUUUUUGUUUACUUUCUCCCUCUUUUUGACAUCAUCAGACAUGGUUAACUUCUUCUUUUUCUGAAGCAUUCUUUAAUUUCUCCCCCUUUAGAGUAUAUCACAGAUGUUUGCUCCCCCUUAAUACAGUAAUUAUUAACAGCAAAUAACAACAAAGAGAAGACAAUAUUUCAACAAGGAGAAUAUAUAUAACCAAAAUAUGAUCAACAUCAUUACAAAAGGUAGAAAUAUAAGUAAAAGAUGAUUCCAUUAAAAUCAUAAUUGUUUCAAUACAUAGUUCAUAUUAUAAAAAUCAACCAGCUAAUUAUCAAUACAUGGCCCCAAGGUACAGAUCCUAGAACAAGACACUAACUCCUAAGGUCUAUUAAUGAUCAAGUCAAGUCAAAGAUCGGAGUCAUCAGAUAUGGUAUGAGAAGCUGAUGGAUCUCUAGCAGAAGUACGUCCUCUACCCCGUCUGCCUCUGGCACGAGCAGGAGAGCGAGAUGAACUGGGAGGCUGAGUAUGCUGAGAUGCUAAGGACUGAACAGAAAGGGUGAGUCUGAUGGAAUCAAGUAUGUUCAAUGCUCUGGAAACAGAUUGAAGUAGAGCAGUGAACUGAGUGGUUGCAUGCUCACUCGAUCC